GAUGAAGAACGUAGCGAAAUGCGAUAAGUAAUGUGAAUUGCAGAAUUCAGUGAAUCAUCGAAUCUUUGAACGCACAUUGCGCCCGCCAGUAUUCUGGCGGGCAUGCCUGUUCGAGCGUCAUUUCAACCCUCAAGCCCCCGGGCUUGGUGUUGGGGAUCGGCGUGCCCUCGCGGCGCGCCGUCCCCUAAAUCUAGUGGCGGUCUCGCUGUAGCUUCCUCUGCGUAGUAGCAAUACUCGCACUGGAUCGCAGCGCGGCCACGCCGUUAAACCCCCCACUUCUGAAAGUUUGACCUCGGAUCAGGUAGGAAUACCCGCUGAACUUAAGCAUAUCAAUAAGCGGAGGA
Molecule: unclassified non-coding RNA, 344 nt
Filed under: soil metagenome
Description: partial contains 5.8S ribosomal RNA, internal transcribed spacer 2, and large subunit ribosomal RNA
Rfam family: 5.8S ribosomal RNA (bases 1-120)
Source: RNAcentral